ACGCUCGACACCUACGGGAGGCAGCAGUGGGGAAUAUUGCACAAUGGGGGAAACCCUGAUGCAGCGACGCCGCGUGGAGGAAGAAGGUCUUCGGAUUGUAAACUCCUGUUGUUGGGGAGAAAGAGGAUGGUACCCAACAAGGAAGUGACGGCUAACUACGUGACAGCAGCCGCGGUAAUCUGAGCGGGCUGGCAAGGC
RNAcentral lists this ribosomal RNA (198 nucleotides) under uncultured bacterium. RNAcentral's name for it is "partial 16S ribosomal RNA". It matches the Rfam family "Bacterial small subunit ribosomal RNA", at positions 328 to 539 of the family's 1533-position model. The record is from RNAcentral.